GAAGAGAGCAGGGGAAAUGAAGAUCAUGUAGCGAUUAUUAAGGAUUAUAGGGCAACAAUUGAAGCAGAGCUCAGCAAGAUUUGUGAUGGGAUUCUAAGCCUUCUAGAAUCACAUCUUAUUCCCUCAGCCGUAAUUGCUGAGUCUAAGGUGUUUUACCUCAAGAUGAAAGGUGAUUACCACAGGUACCUAGCUGAAUUUAAGACUGGACCUGGUAGGAAAGAGGCUGCAGAGAGCACUUUGUUGGCUUACAAAUCUGCUCAGGUCAGUCAUUACCGUGUUGUGUUUUCAAUUUUGCUCUUUCACAUGCAUGGAUACAUAUAUCAAUUAUUUUUUUCUUUUUUCUUCCCGUAAUAAUAUGUACUGAGUUUCCUUUUUGUUUUUUCUUUUGAUGUAGGACAUUGCUCUUGCUGAACUAGCUCCUACUCACCCAAUAAGGCUGGGGCUUGCUCUUAACUUCUCUGUCUUCUAUUAUGAAAUCCUUAACUCACCAGACCGUGCUUGCAAUCUU
RNAcentral lists this long non-coding RNA (508 nucleotides) under Vitis vinifera (wine grape). RNAcentral's name for it is "long non-coding RNA (VVIN_LNC004756)". Lineage: Eukaryota; Viridiplantae; Streptophyta; Magnoliopsida; Vitales; Vitaceae. The record is from RNAcentral.